GAUGAACGCUGGCGGCGUGCUUAACACAUGCAAGUCGAGCGAAGCAGUUAAGUUGAUUUCUUCGGAUUGAUUCUUAAUUGACUGAGCGGCGGACGGGUGAGUAACGCGUGGGUGACCUGCCCCAUACCGGGGGAUAACAGCUGGAAACGGCUGCUAAUACCGCAUAAGCGCACAGAGCUGCAUGGCUCAGUGUGAAAAACUCCGGUGGUAUGGGAUGGGCCCGCGUCUGAUUAGGCAGUUGGCGGGGUAACGGCCCACCAAACCGACGAUCAGUAGCCGGCCUGAGAGGGCGACCGGCCACAUUGGGACUGAGACACGGCCCAAACUCCUACGGGAGGCAGCAGUGGGGAAUAUUGCACAAUGGGGGAAACCCUGAUGCAGCGACGCCGCGUGAGCGAAGAAGUAUUUCGGUAUGUAAAGCUCUAUCAGCAGGGAAGAUA
RNAcentral lists this ribosomal RNA (440 nucleotides) under uncultured bacterium. RNAcentral's name for it is "bacterial SSU rRNA". It matches the Rfam family "Bacterial small subunit ribosomal RNA", at positions 28 to 450 of the family's 1533-position model. The record is from RNAcentral.